UCGGAAGGUGGAAGUUAGGCUCAUGGAGAAACUUCCCGCGGACAUUCUGCUCAGCAAUGCCUUGGGCUACCUCACCUCCACCCAUUACAAACACCGAGCAGAGCUAUCCUGUGACAACAAGGCAAUAAGCCCACACCACCCAAGACGGCUAACACUCUGAGGCUCAGGUAGGCACAUGUGCCCCUUCCCGCACCCCAAUUUCCCGCAGAUGACCACGUAAGCAAG
This is a non-coding RNA of Pelobates cultripes (western spadefoot toad), 225 nucleotides long. The record is from the annotation of a GenBank genome assembly. Lineage: Eukaryota; Metazoa; Chordata; Amphibia; Anura; Pelobatidae.